AUUAACCCUAUAUCCUUGCCUCUGGUUUGCCUGUCACUUCUUCUUCUCUCGAUACUUCUUCUUCUUCUUCCUCUUCUUCUGAAUUGAGUGAGACCUUGAGGAGGUUUAAGCACGAUAGAUUUGAAGCUUUAAUGGUGAGUUUCAACUGUUUCUAGAGAGUGCGUGUAGUGAGGGUGAGGGAGAGGAUUCGUAAAUGAUUGGAAUGAGAGUGUAAUGAUUUCUAAGGGUCCAGAAAUGAUGGAGCUGAUGUCAAUUUAUAGUGGUUAGGAUUGGAUGAGGAUAGGUUUGGAUUCAGGUCUGGAAUUAGUUAGGAGUUGGUUUGGAGUUGGUUAAGAUGAACUCAGUGAGUUCAAUCUAUUAACUCACUGAGUUGGCAGUUACUUAAUGCAAUUGGUUAGUUACUUGGUGACUGUUAAGUGAUUAUGUUAGUGACUGGCCAAUGCAGGUUGUGCUUGAAUUGAAGUUAUGUGGACCUAGGUUGGUGACCUGCUGAACCUGUUGUAGGUAAUAUUUUAAUGUGUUCAGCUAGCUCAGGUGCAGGGUAACAAGUGGAAUUGUGCACAACCUGUCUAAACCAAAUUAUUGAACUCCAUCUGCACAUGUUACUUGUGAUGCUUGCAAAACUAUUGUAUUGUCAUGUGAUUUUUUGUAGUGUUCAUGUUGCAUUCUUGAUGUAAACUGAUACCAGGGUUGUGCUUGAACUUAGUCUGCAUCAUUUAUUCAUUGAUUUGUUCCUGUUUAUGUUGAUCUAAGCCUGGUUUCGAACUUAUUUGUUUGUUUAUGUAGGUCUGGCAUUGCAACAUGUUAGUGCAAGUCUAAGCAUGGCAUCAGUUUACCUUUGCUUGGGUGGUUUUGUAGCUUAAUAAUGUUGGUUGCAAGUCAUUUCUUUUGGCUUGUGCAUGGUGACAUGAAAUGGAUCUACUAUGGUAGUGCAGUAGCAAGAACUUGCAUAAGAUGAUUUGGAUGCUAUGAUAUGAUGAGUUUAGUUUUGUUAAUGUAAGUGGUACACUCAUGCAAUGGGGAGUUUGCAAGUGUUGCUAGUGUGUGGUUGCUUAGCUUAUGGAAUUUAGGUUUUGAUGGUAUGAUGCAACUCAGUUAUGGGAUUGGGAAUGCCAUGUGAAUGUUGCUUAGUAGUUGCUGCUACUGCAUGAAGUUUAUGGCCUGGUCAUGGAUUGAUGGUGUGUGCAGCUAGUGUUGAUGUCUUCCUACAGGUUUUGUGGUUGAAUUAUGGACCUCACCUGGACUUGUCCUAACUUCAUAUGGUCAUGCAGUGGGGUAUUCAACUCACGAUUUAGGUUUGUCAUGCAGCCAGUGGCUUCAAGUAUGUAUGGUAUGGCUUCAUGACUUCACACCCUGUACUACUUGGUGUUUGUUAUCUUGGUGAAUUGAGUCAUAAACUCUGCAUUUUCAUGGACAUGUACUGCUAUGUUGUUGGUCUUGAAUUAAAGUGUGCCUGCUUCUAGCUUGGUUGUUUGUUACAAGUUCUGUUGUUUUUGUUGUCAUUGCUGGAACUGUAACAGGUUGGUUACAAGGUAUUGUGUGAUGCUAUUGUUAGACUUGGAUCAUGUUUGUGCAAGUGUAACUUGGUCUUGGCAGGGUGUGCUACAGGUUGCAUACUAUGGUUCUUGGUUGGCUCAAAAACACACAAUGGUAUAUAGCAGGUUUGCUGUAUAUUUCCAUUCAUGUUUUGUGGUUCAGUUUGUGUUUAAAGAUUCUUUGAACCAAUGUCUAAUGCAGGGUCAUUUGUAGGUUCAUCAUGGCCUUUUGUUGAUAUGACAGCAGGGCAAUUGUAUGAUCAUGUGCAAAGUGGUUCAAUUGGUUUGCUACCUAUUCAUUUCCAUUUCUGGUUUUGGGUUUAAUGCAGCAUGGCCAUGAUUAGCUUUACAGUUCUGACUUGGUAAAGGCAUAACAGCUAGGUUCAUAACAUUGAUCAUGCACCUGGAGGAUGGUUGAACAAGGGCUUACAAUAUGAUGACCAAGAUUGGAGUUUGAAGCAUUCAUGACAAAUGGCAAGGAUUCAAAGGUCAAGGAUCAAAAUUUGACUUUAGGAUUAGAAUUAGAACUAGGACUUAGGGUUUUAGGAUGAAAAGGGCUUGGGUUGACUUUGGUCAAAGUUGACAAAAAAGUCAAUUGUUGACCAAAGUCAACAUUUGGUCAACAUGCAAUUUUUUGUACUUUUUGGAUGUAAUGAACAUUGCAAUGGACUAUAGAUGGUUAUUUGAAUGGAAAUUGGAGUUUAUGAGUGAAA
Lathyrus oleraceus (garden pea) is the source of this 2248-nucleotide long non-coding RNA. RefSeq lists it as uncharacterized. The record is from RefSeq and is a predicted model, not a curated record. The transcript is spliced from 4 exons. NCBI's taxonomy places the organism in Eukaryota, Viridiplantae, Streptophyta, Magnoliopsida, Fabales, Fabaceae.